Pelodiscus sinensis (Chinese soft-shelled turtle) is the source of this 827-nucleotide non-coding RNA. Lineage: Eukaryota; Metazoa; Chordata; Testudines; Trionychidae. The record is from the annotation of a RefSeq genome assembly.
GCGGCCGCCCCGGGUGCCUGCAGGGAUCACUCACCGGUUCCCAACCCGGGGGCGUCUCCCCGGGCCGCUCGGCGCACGAUGCUGCUCUGGCUGCGCGUUGCUUUCCUGGCGGCUCUUCCCCAAGGUGCCCGAGCGCAGGUCCGGCUGGUGGAGUCCGGGGGCGGCGUGAAAAGGGCCGGAGACUCUCUGCGCCUCUCCUGCAAAGGCUCCGGCUUCACCUUUAGCAACUUCACCAUGAGAUGGUUCCGCCAGGCCCCCGGGCAGGGGCCCGAGUGGGUGGCUACGGUCAGCCCCAUUAGCUAUUGGGCCGGAACCGACAAGCGGUACGCUGGGUCGGUGCAAGGGCGAUUCACCAUCUCCAGAGACAACCCCAACAACCGGCUCCAUCUGGAGAUGGGCGGCCUGAGAGCCGAGGACACGGCGGUGUAUUACUGUCAGAGAGACACCGUGAGCGGCAGGGACUGGAACCGCGUACAAAAACCUGCCGUCGGCCGCGGGGCAGGGUCCCACACACCGCACUGACCCGGGGAGAGACUGUCCCCGCGCUGCAGCCAACACCUGGGGAGCCGUAAUUUGAGGGAGGGGGGGCAGUGAAGGCUGCCAAGGCUGAGGCGCAUUAAUUGGCCUUUAUCCUCCUCCCGGACUCCCACUUCCCCGAAUCCCUGAAGCAGGGGGUCCCACAGAGAACAGCCUCCUUCCCAGCCCCGAUUCAUUCCCCAGCAGGCCCCUUCCCAGCAGGGGUGCCUAGCCGGGGUCCCGUGGGAAAAAGUAGCGAGUGAAACCUUGUGGCAUCUCUGUGAGGGCGCGUAGGGGUUCCGCCCAUCCUA